GGGCGGGUAGCUCAGCUGGGAGAGCGCCACGUUUACACCGUGGAUGUCACAGGUUCGAGUCCUGUUCCGCCUACCA
This 76-nucleotide transfer RNA is filed under the name Deltaproteobacteria bacterium ADurb.BinA014. RNAcentral's name for it is "tRNA-Val". It matches the Rfam family "tRNA". Rfam says of the family: Transfer RNA (tRNA) molecules are approximately 80 nucleotides in length. Their secondary structure includes four short double-helical elements and three loops (D, anti-codon, and T loops). Further hydrogen bonds mediate the characteristic L-shaped molecular structure. tRNAs have two regions of fundamental functional importance: the anti-codon, which is responsible for specific mRNA codon recognition, and the 3' end, to which the tRNAs corresponding amino acid is attached (by aminoacyl-tRNA synthetases). tRNAs cope with the degeneracy of the genetic code in two manners: having more than one tRNA (with a specific anti-codon) for a particular amino acid; and 'wobble' base-pairing, i.e. permitting non-standard base-pairing at the 3rd anti-codon position. The record is from RNAcentral. RNAcentral also lists the same sequence under 3 other names. Lineage: Bacteria; Deltaproteobacteria.